UGCUCAGAGUGGCUAUUUCAACCAUAUGGUGCCGUGGUAACGGCUCGCGCAAGCGCCCGGCCGCUUGACCGGAAUAGCAUAGACUGCCCAAAUACAAAGAGCUUAGGGAAAUUUUCUACGAUGAUGGUUUCGCGUCACGCGCAAGCGGAACAGCCGCUCGAUCUGCCUCCGGGGUACACGCUCGUAUCGCUUCGCGAGUAUGGCGACGCGUUUGCGCACGGCUGCACUAUUGCAGCCGAAGCUGGCGCGGGAACAUUGGUCUGGGUCCGGCGCUACGACCUGGUCGAGUUCGCCGUCGUG
Molecule: unclassified non-coding RNA, 300 nt
Filed under: Hevea brasiliensis (rubber tree)
Lineage: Eukaryota; Viridiplantae; Streptophyta; Magnoliopsida; Malpighiales; Euphorbiaceae
Source: RNAcentral